AACGAACGCUGGCGGCAUGCCUAACACAUGCAAGUCGAACGAGACCUUCGGGUCUAGUGGCGCACGGGUGCGUAACGCGUGGGAACCUGCCCUUAGGUUCGGAAUAACUCCCCGAAAGGGGUGCUAAUACCGGAUAAUGUCUUCGGACCAAAGAUUUAUCGCCUUUGGAUGGGCCCGCGUUGGAUUAGCUAGUUGGUAGGGUAAAAGCCUACCAAGGCGACGAUCCAUAGCUGGUCUGAGAGGAUGAUCAGCCACACUGGGACUGAGACACGGCCCAGACCCCCACGGGGGGGAGGCGUGGGGAAUAUUAGGCGAUGGGGCGAAACCCUGUCCCGCCAUGGCGGGGUGGUGGUUAAGGGCUUUGGGUUGUAAAGCCGCUUUUCCCGGGAUGAUAAUGACAGUACCGGGAGAAUAAGCUCCGGUUAACUCCGUG
RNAcentral lists this ribosomal RNA (433 nucleotides) under uncultured bacterium. RNAcentral's name for it is "partial 16S ribosomal RNA". It matches the Rfam family "Bacterial small subunit ribosomal RNA", at positions 29 to 507 of the family's 1533-position model. The record is from RNAcentral.